CCUACGGGGGCAGCAGUGAGGAAUAUUGGUCAAUGGGCUUACGCCUGAACCAGCCAAGUCGCGUGAGGGAAGACUGGCCUAUGGGUUGGAAACCUUUUUUGGCAGGGAGCAACGACGGCUCAGGGUAGCCGGACUGAGAGUACCUGAAGAAAAAGCAUCGGCUAACUCCGUGCCAGCAGCCGCGGUAAUACGGAGGAUGCGAGCGUUAUCCGGAUUUAUUGGGUUUAAAGGGUGCGUAGGCGGAAUGCCAAGUCAGCGGUAAAAUCGAGGGGCUCAACCUCGCUCUGCCGUUGAAACUGGCGUUCUUGAGUACGCUAGAAGUAUGCGGAAUGCGUGGUGUAGCGGUGAAAUGCAUAGAUAUCACGCAGAACUCCGAUUGCGAAGGCAGCAUACCGGCGCCCAACUGACGCUGAAGCACGAAAGCGUGGAUAUCGAACAGGAUUAGAUACCCUAGUAGUC
Molecule: ribosomal RNA, 459 nt
Filed under: uncultured bacterium
Lineage: Bacteria
Description: partial 16S ribosomal RNA
Rfam family: Bacterial small subunit ribosomal RNA
Source: RNAcentral